UUCCGACGCGUUGGUGCGCUCGGAUUAACGUUAUGAGAAGCCGAUGCAAAGUUAUGGCCAAAUAAGCCUAAUUUGGCUUCGUUAUGCCGCAGGUAAAGAACGAAAAGUCUAAAAAUCUCAAGAAAAUCAUCGGAGCACCUUUGAAAGCCUACGAGGUGGGUGGUGCUUCUCAAACUCGUUGAACUUCCCUCUAUGCCUAAUGUGUCAUUCAUUUGAGCAUAUAUAUAUAUGUUGUUGCAUGCAUUUUAGGGUAAAGUGAUGAUGAUAAUGUAAUGUUGCAUGAUUGUGAGUACAACUUGCAUAAUAUGAUGAAUGAGAACCUUAUGAAUGUUAGAACCCUAUAUGUAUGCAUGAGAGAAAAUGUGAGUGCCAAAGUGAGCCAAAAGAACCGAGUGGCACCAUGACAUAGAUCGAGUGGCAUUUGAAAACGUAAAGUAAAGUGACACUAGAGUUAGUGUGAGCCAAAGAACCAAAGUGAUGUAAACAAUGACGAAAAUGACAAUGUGUAAAGUUAAAGUAAAGUGGGGCAAUUAGAACGAGAAAUGUAAAGAAUAAGAAUACUAAAGAUGGCAAAAGUAAAAGAAAAGUAAAGAACAACGAUUGCUAGAGUUAGCAACAUAAAGUGACAUAAAGAACACUAGAGCUAGUGUAAAGUCAAGAUUGAACUUAUAUGUCACGACCCGCGACCCCCGCCAAUUUGGUCAGGUUCGCGGCACCGACAGUGCCGAACGGACCGAGGAUUCCCCUGUACCUCGGACAGAGUCUCCCCUGUACGUUCAAGGCAACGCAAUCAAUACAACACGAAGGUUCCAACCAGGAACAGAUAUCAAUCAAGAUUGCAAAAUGGAAGGUAUCAAUAACAUAACACAUCCUAAGUUAUUACACGCAUUCACAUUCAUAUGUUUUACAUCACAGUUCUUUUUUUACAUUCUUUUCUUUCAUCCAACCAAAUGCAAUCUAAGCAACUACAUCAUUAUUUAUAAGUAUAGUACAUCUUGAUAUGAAUUAUUACAUCAAUUAUUCAUUACAAUUUGAUACAUUGAUCUUUCAUCUCUAUACCCCUAGGAUAUGUCGACUCGGGGUACCGCUAACUCUGGUCUCUAUGGUAGGGCGCUAUCUACUGAGCUACGCCCUUUCCUCGCGCCGCCGCGCCGCUCACGUGCGAACCUGUAACACCCCAAAACAACGUGGGGUGAGAACCAACUCCAUGGUUCCCAGUGGGUACGGCCACCCAAGGGAAAAGCUCGACCAAUAGGUCAAAGAGAGGCAACCUGCAGGUUAGUUCAAUAAACAGAUAGAUAUAUAUAUCUAAAUUAUGCAACUAAUGAAACCUCGCAUUGCCUCACGAUAUGCAAUAUGGAUAUCAUGCAUUUCUAUGCCACUAUGCAUCUAU
This 1393-nucleotide long non-coding RNA is filed under the name Ananas comosus (pineapple). RNAcentral describes it as "long non-coding RNA (ACOM_LNC040384)". The record is from RNAcentral. Lineage: Eukaryota; Viridiplantae; Streptophyta; Magnoliopsida; Poales; Bromeliaceae.